Molecule: ribosomal RNA, 610 nt
Filed under: Purpureocillium lilacinum
Lineage: Eukaryota; Fungi; Ascomycota; Sordariomycetes; Hypocreales; Ophiocordycipitaceae
Description: eukaryotic LSU rRNA
Rfam family: 5.8S ribosomal RNA (bases 235-388)
Source: RNAcentral
AGUCGUAACAAGGUCUCCGUUGGUGAACCAGCGGAGGGAUCAUUACCGAGUUAUACAACUCCCAAACCCACUGUGAACCUUACCUCAGUUGCCUCGGCGGGAACGCCCCGGCCGCCUGCCCCCGCGCCGGCGCCGGACCCAGGCGCCCGCCGCAGGGACCCCAAACUCUCUUGCAUUACGCCCAGCGGGCGGAAUUUCUUCUCUGAGUUGCACAAGCAAAAACAAAUGAAUCAAAACUUUCAACAACGGAUCUCUUGGUUCUGGCAUCGAUGAAGAACGCAGCGAAAUGCGAUAAGUAAUGUGAAUUGCAGAAUUCAGUGAAUCAUCGAAUCUUUGAACGCACAUUGCGCCCGCCAGCAUUCUGGCGGGCAUGCCUGUUCGAGCGUCAUUUCAACCCUCGAGCCCCCCCGGGGGCCUCGGUGUUGGGGGACGGCACACCAGCCGCCCCCGAAAUGCAGUGGCGACCCCGCCGCAGCCUCCCCUGCGUAGUAGCACACACCUCGCACCGGAGCGCGGAGGCGGUCACGCCGUAAAACGCCCAACUUUCUUAGAGUUGACCUCGGAUCAGGUAGGAAUACCCGCUGAACUUAAGCAUAUCAAUAAGCGGAGG